GGUGUGGCCUGUGCCCCCUAAAGAGAGGUUUCCCCCCCACCGAAUCUUCUACUUCAGCAGCCACUGGUGUGAGAGGCUCCAGCAGUUUCUCCCUGAUUUCCAAUGCCAAUUACAUAGACUCCAAAGAGGCUUCUGACCCAGGAGUAAGGAGGCAGGUCAUCUGGGUUUCCCAUAAACAGGAUAAGGAGGUCCAGACUGGGUAGAAUCAGGCAAGCUUGGAAUUAUUCACUUCUUAGAAAGUCACAAACUUUCAUGAGCGUUCCCUCUCUUUGGAAGGGGAUAUCUUUCUCUCUUAUAAACGAAAAUAAAAUACGAAGUAAAAAAAAAUAAAACUCCACUGAUAAAGUCUGAAGGGAGCCCACAGAGGGGCCCCCAGAUCCCUAUCUUAAGGCGGCCCCAGCGUGAGGCUCAGGUUCCCAACGCUAGGGAGAGAAAAUCGGCUAACUGCAAGGCCGGGGCCAACUCGGUUGCCUGGCAACGAGACGCCGUGGAGGACUUCCUCAUUGGUUGGGAUUGGUGGGGGCGGGGUCGCGAACUCAGGAGUUGCAGGGAAGAUGGCUGGGAGCUGGCGACUGGCCAGGAAGCCACAUUCUCCCAACUCUGGUUUCUCCUCUUAGCCCGAACACACCGAGAGGCCGACAUGUUUUCAGAUAUGCAAAUACGUCUCCCAACAGUGAAAUAUUUGACAACUGAGAUAUGAAGUGAUUGUUUAAUUCUUAAUUCCUGGUUGAUUUAUGCAAAAUAUGAACGGAAAGACGUGGAGCGACAGGCACUCUCUUCCUCCCAAUUUGCCAAAAAAGAAAGGCAUCUGAAGGGAUUAAAAAUAGACGUAUCCAGUGGAGGCAACAUUUUGGAAUGUGUCGGAUGCCAGCUGGGGGAGUUGAAGUGAAAUCUCAGAAUCUGCUAUGCACUCGAAUUUCAGUGAGGAGUACAUAUGUUUGGCAUUAAAAACCUAUUGGAAAAGUCAUUGUUUUCUGAAUAUCUUUAAUAUACUUUUCUGUGUUGCAUCUAGCACCCAAAGAACUCCUUCUGGGUAUUUUUACUGAAAUGCCAGCACCGGAUUUACAAAUUAUGGGGCCCAGGGCAAAAGCAAAAGUGGGGGCUCCCCUGACGCCCGAUAGUUGGCAACCUAUCGACUAAUUGCUGCCAGGACGAAAUAUCACUGGAUAAUGUGUAUUUGCACCACCUCUGAGGACCCUGUAUUUCAUUCUGUUCAAGAAGGAUUACCGCUUGCUACAUUGGCCCUUGGGAGCCCUGUGGUCCCACGGCCCAUUCCUACCUUAUCCUCCAGACCGCACCCGGAAGGGGGGCGGUGAACGUGGACCUUUGUAAAUGAGGACGAAAAAAUGCGGUGUUUAUGACCCUCUCUUGCUCUUUCUUUCUUUGCUUUGGUAUAAGAGGUGCGGUCGUGGGGGAAGUAGAGUCGCCUCCAGGAGUAUUCUUAGUGAAUUUCCCCCGCUGGAUUCUAGGAUGUGGCCCAAGCUCCCUCCGUGACUAAUGCUUUCCAUUUAUUCAUGCUUCAUGUCACAGCGGGCAGGGCUGCUGCAGGACAGGUCGGAAUUACGGAAUUAUUAAUCCCGUUUUACAAAGGAGGAAACUGAAGCUCUGGGGAUUUGGCACUUUGUUAGUGGUGGAGAUUGCCGGAGACUAACCCAGUUUUAGGGCUGAGAAUUCAGCGACUGAUUUCAGCACUCUGUCGC
RNAcentral lists this long non-coding RNA (1700 nucleotides) under Felis catus (domestic cat). Its description in RNAcentral is "lncRNA (ENSFCAG00000050471.1)". The record is from RNAcentral. Lineage: Eukaryota; Metazoa; Chordata; Mammalia; Carnivora; Felidae.